UACGAAGGGGGCUAGCGUUGUUCGGAAUUACUGGGCGUAAAGCGUAUGCAGGCGGAUCGUUAAGUCGGGGGUGAAAUCCCGGGGCUCAACCUCGGAACUGCCUUUGAUACUGCAAAUCUCGAGUCCGGAAGAGGUGAGUGGAAUUCCUAGUGUAGAGGUGAAAUUCGUAGAUAUUAGGAAGAACACCAGUGGCGAAGGCAGCACUCUGGGACGGUACUGACGCUGAGACGCGAAAGCGUGGGGAGCGAACAGG
This 253-nucleotide ribosomal RNA is filed under the name uncultured bacterium. Its description in RNAcentral is "partial 16S ribosomal RNA". It matches the Rfam family "Bacterial small subunit ribosomal RNA", at positions 524 to 776 of the family's 1533-position model. The record is from RNAcentral.